GCCGCCGAGAGCUCGCCUCCCUCUCCCGCCCGGCGCCUCGGGAGGCGGUUUUCACCCCUUCAAAGAGCUCCGGUAGAUUAAGGGAUUUGGCGGGUUUGGGGUUUGUAUGGGCUUCUUUGCCCAGCUCCGGAAUCCUCAGCCAAGAAGCCGGCACUAGGGGAGGGCAGCUGAAGAAGCUGAUCAACAGCACUGAGGCCUGGACAAAGCUCGGGGAAACCUACGCUCUAGACCCACCUGCUCUCCUGCACUCCUUCCAGAACAGUCAGAUCUCCUGGCGUCAAGUCCAGGGGCCUGGGAUCCCUUGGGCGUCUCCACGAGGCUGACCAGGCACUGGGAAUUUGUGACUGACAUGGUCUUCUUUUCACUUGGGCUUUGGAAAAGCUUCAGGACAAAUUUGUGGCCCACCCCCAGGAAGUGAAUAGGGCAGCCCCAGAACCACUUUACCUUGAUUCCCAUCUCUGCUUUGUCUUCCCUUGUGGUUUUUCUUUCUCCUCUUAGUUCUCCUUAUUUUACCAUACACAAUCAAGAACAGGCAAGCAAAAAUAAACAAAAAUCGCCUGUAACCUCACUAUCCAGAGAUACCCACAAUUAUCAGUGUUGUCCUUUUAUGCAUAUUUAAAAAAAAUAAAAAUGAGAGGAUACCAUGCCUACCUUUUGGGGGGGCAUAGUGUUUUGUAACUUGCUUUUUUCGUUUUAUGUCACCAAUAUC
Molecule: long non-coding RNA, 709 nt
Organism: Capra hircus (goat)
Lineage: Eukaryota; Metazoa; Chordata; Mammalia; Artiodactyla; Bovidae
Exons: 3
Source: RefSeq, a predicted model, not a curated record